CCACUUAAAUGUCUGUCAUGUGGAAAACAGGUGGCUUGAAUGAGUUUUAUAAAUUUAAAUGUAAUAUUAAGCUUGGUGUGAAUAAAAAUGUGCCCAUUAAUUGUUUAUUAGACAAAAACGUGUAAUCAGCUGAGUUUGAGGGGAAUUUACCAAGAUAUGAAACUGAAGCCUGCCAGCACCACUGCAGUCAAACUAGCCUUUUUACAAAACACAUCUUUGGCUUUUUUAAAAACAAAUAAAAACUACCUUGAGUUUUUCUAAGCCAAUUAAUCCUAUGUUAACCCCUAACAAAACAAAACAAAACAAAACCCAAAAACAUUUUCUAAAAAUUGUUCAACUUCUUUUCUUCAUCAUGCAAAAAUAAAUAAAAAUAAGAGCCGACCUGCUUCCCUCACACACCGAAUUUAUUACCAACACAAACAUGACUCUAACAAGUCAAGAACAAGCAUUUUUUUUUUUUUUUAAAUGUGAAACAAAGAUUACAAGGAUUUCACAAAAGUGGGGAAGGUGUUCCCAACCAGCAUAUCGACAAAAACAGUAUGCUUCUACAUUUGAUUAAAAAAGGCUAAGACAAAUACCAUACCUUCGUUUCAACUUAUAAAACUGACAUUGCACCCUGUUGUUAUUUUUACAAACACCUCUAAUGAAAACGUAUGUUGGUAAAGGGCAAAUGAAAUGGAGUAGCAUGUGCAUAAGAGACAUCGAGCAUGAGCGCCUGGUAUUCUACAGCUACUUAUCAAAAAACAGGAGGUGAGGAUAGUGUUGUCGGGUACGGGGAAUGUAAAUAGAGGGCAGGAGGGAGACACUGGGAGGAGGGCUUGUGACAAACAGUCCAAAAUCUGAACUAGGAGCGAGAACGGGAACGAGAACGAGACUGGGAGCGGGAUUUAGAGCGGGACUCCGAUCGGGAGGCGGAGCGGGAACGGGAGCGGGCUUUGGCAGGUGAGGGGGAACGGGAUUUGGACUUUGAUUUAGACCUGGCUCUGGAUUUGGACUCCUCAGGAGACUGAGAACGGGAACGAGAACGAGAGCGUGAGCCUCUCUCAGGCUCGCCGCCCUCGUCAUCGCUCUUGGGCUCCUCGCGGCCCUUUGAGACAGAUUUCCUUGACUGAUCCUUAGCUCCAGAUGCAGAACGAGAUCUAGAACGAGACCUGGAGCGAGACCGAGAGCGAGACCUGGACCUGGACUCCCCCUUCUUGCCCUUUUUCCCCUCUUUCUUGCUCUUUUUACUCUUGGGGCUGCGGCUCCGGCUCCGGCUGCGAUCCUUGUUCUUCUGAGCGCCGUUGCUGCGCUCCUCCUCCUCCUUCUUGCCCUUUCCCUUAUUCUUCUUGCUACGAGAUCGACUGCGGGAGCGAGAAGCAGCCC
Long non-coding RNA from Oreochromis aureus, 1365 nucleotides. The record is from Ensembl. NCBI's taxonomy places the organism in Eukaryota, Metazoa, Chordata, Actinopteri, Cichliformes, Cichlidae.